UGGGGAAUUUUGCACAAUGUUCGCAAGAAUGAUGCAGCGACGCCGCGUGAAUGAAGAAGGCCUUCGGGUCGUAAAGUUCUUUCGCUAGGGAAUAAACGUAUACAUAGUAACUGAUGUAUGCUUGAAGGUACCUAGAUAAGCAGUCCCGGCUAACUCCGUGCCAGCAGCCGCGGUAAUACGGAGGGGACAAGCGUUGUUCGGAGUUAUUGGGCGUAAAGAGCUCGUAGGCGGUGAUGUAAGUCAUUAGUCAAAGGCGACAGCUUAACUGUCGUAAGGCUAGUGAUACUAUAUUACUGGAGUAUCGUAGAGGAUUGCAGAAUUCCUAGUGUAGCGGUGAAAUGCGUAGAUAUUAGGAGGAAUACCUGUUGCGAAGGCGGCAAUCUGGUCGAUAACUGACGCUGAGGAGCGAAAGCGUGGGGAGCAAACA
Molecule: ribosomal RNA, 427 nt
Filed under: uncultured Mucispirillum sp.
Lineage: Bacteria; Pseudomonadati; Deferribacterota; Deferribacteres; Deferribacterales; Mucispirillaceae
Description: partial 16S ribosomal RNA
Rfam family: Bacterial small subunit ribosomal RNA
Source: RNAcentral